This 495-nucleotide ribosomal RNA is filed under the name uncultured bacterium. RNAcentral describes it as "partial 16S ribosomal RNA". It matches the Rfam family "Bacterial small subunit ribosomal RNA", at positions 28 to 507 of the family's 1533-position model. The record is from RNAcentral.
GAUGAACGCUGGCGGCGUGCUUAACACAUGCAAGUCGAACGAAGCACCUCUCCCGAAGAUUGCCACAGCUUGCUGUAGAUUGAUUCAUUUGAGGUGACUGAGUGGCGGACGGGUGAGUAACGCGUGGGUAACCUGCCUCAUAGAGGGGGACAACAGUUGGAAACGACUGCUAAUACCGCAUAGUAAGAAGAAUUCGCAUGUUUUCUUCUUGAAAGAUUUAUCGCUAUGAGAUGGACCCGCGUCUGAUUAGCUAGUUGGUAAGGUAACGGCUUACCAAGGCGACGAUCAGUAGCCGGCUUGAGAGAGUGAACGGCCACAUUGGGACUGAGACACGGCCCAAACUCCUACGGGAAGCAGCAGUGGGGAAUAUUGCACAAUGGGGGAAACCCUGAUGCAGCGACGCCGCGUGAGUGAAGAAGUAUUUCGGUAUGUAAAGCUCUAUCAGCAGGGAAGAUAAUGACGGUACCUGACUAAGAAGCCCCGGCUAACUACGUG